UCGCUAGUAAUCGCAGAUCAGAAUGCUGCGGUGAAUACGUUCCCGGGCCUUGUACACACCGCCCGUCACACCAUGGGAGUCGGUAGCACCCAAAGUUGGUAGCCUAACCGCAAGGAGGGCGCCGCCUAAGGUGGGAUUGAUGACUGGGGUGAAGUCGUAACAAGGUAAC
Molecule: ribosomal RNA, 169 nt
Filed under: uncultured bacterium
Lineage: Bacteria
Description: partial 16S ribosomal RNA
Rfam family: Bacterial small subunit ribosomal RNA
Source: RNAcentral